This 1936-nucleotide long non-coding RNA is filed under the name Cyanistes caeruleus (blue tit). Its description in RNAcentral is "lncRNA (ENSCCEG00000015047.1)". Lineage: Eukaryota; Metazoa; Chordata; Aves; Passeriformes; Paridae. The record is from RNAcentral.
ACAUAUAGAAGGGUACUCCUAUCUUCUAAGUCUCAGAAACAUAAUUAUCUCCCUACAGAUUCCCUGAAAGGGAAAAAUCCCAAGAAUCCAGAGAGCUUAAGAGAAAAAGAGACUGGUAAAAGAAAAGAUGUGAAGUCUCCAGCAACCUUAAAGGAAAAAGACUCUUCAAAACAAAAAGAAACUAAGGCUUCAACUAAUCCUAAGGAAAAAGCUGCAGUGAAAAAGGAGGGGGAGAAGAAAGCUACCUCAGAGAACCCUCAUGAACACAAGCACGAACGUGUUAAACGUGAAAAAACUGUCUCUCAGACUAAGCCAGAGGAGAAAAUUAAACAACAAAAGACAACUCCCACUGAGAAGUCAGCCCAAGCAAAGCCAGCAAAGCAUGAAGCAGUCAGACCUGAAAAAGACGUUCCCCUUACAAAACCAGUCAAACCAAAAAACACUGCAAAGCCAACAGCUGAAAUCCCAACAUCAGCCACAAAAAAAAUAAAGACAACUAAGGAAAAAGAAGAAAAACCAACUGAGAAGAAACAGCUGAAAGAUGAAAAAACUAAAGUAAAAGAAGAUCCACGGCAUCAAAACUUGACAUCAGCUCCUGUCCGCUACUUUCAAUGUGUCUUCCUAAAUGGACCUAAUGGAUUUGGCCUGCAAUUUCCUAUUAAUCCCCCUUCAAACAAGGAAGAAAAGGCUCACUCAAAGACUUCCAAGAGAAAGACAAGGAAACCGGGGCAGUAGAGAGACUGAGUCCAAUGAUCACUGACAUUUUGCACUUUAUCUUUUCUGCUGAGGUCCACAGUAGCUACAGUGGUACUUGUCAUUGCAAGAAUGUGAUCCGCUUGCACACAUGUACCUGGAAAAGGUUUCCAUGGGGCAAUGGCAGAACAAGCAGUAAUGAACUGUGUUUAACAAAGGUAGAAAUGUAACAGUGCCCAGUUUCUCAUGGAAAGGCUGCAAUGCUAACAAAGCAUUGAUGUGACUGUGUGUGUGAGCAUGUGCGUGUGUUUCCAUGCCUCUUUUGCUCUUGUUUUACUUUACCUACAUGCUCAGCAUUGAAGUGAGUCUGUUUUCCAUUUAAUCUUAUCUAAGGAGUGAAAGGUUGAAUGUAGCUCUUAUAUCAGCAAGAUUGCAAGACUAGCUGCAAUCCUAAACCAUUUCUUCUUAACGUUCAAUCAAAUUUCUGACAGGAAAAUGCCUCACUAAGUCAUGAAAAUGUGCUUUGUGACUGGUGCUAUUUUUAUGUCUCAUUGACCAGUGUAGCCCGAAGCUCACACUUACUUGGAGCAGCUCAAUACACUAUCAGUAAGUUGACUCCACAAGUCAUGCUAAUGAUGAAUUUUCUAUUUAGUCUGAAACUGUAAAAGCAUGGACUGUUUGCCCUGCCUGUUGGUAAAAUACAAGCUCUUCUCUUCCUAAGGCCCAAAGUGAGAAGAGAAAGUGAAACCACAUGUCAAAGGUUAGGAAAAUCACUGUUUUACCAACAUGAAGGUCUGAAGAAACAAAUGAAAUAAUUAUAGUGCUUCCACUUUUCUUCUGCAGCUAAAUCUGAUUGUUUUUCAGCAAAAACCAUGUAAAUGGACAAUAUACCACCCAACAAUUUGCCAUUAGCUUAAGCCAGAUGAAAAGCUAGGAUGUGAGAUGCCAUUCACAAAACUAAAGCAACCCAAAUUUCCAGUAAUUAUGUGAAUUUAAUGCUAUCUCAGAUCAGUGAACAACAGCAAAAACCAAAAUCCCAACAAAGAAAGAAUCAGAAGAAAAUUAAACAUAAACACAUUAAAUAACCCAGGUAUCUCAUUUUACUAAAUGAAAUUAAUGGACUUCCUCACAGCACACUACUGUAAAUGGCUUACAGUAGAACUGAAAGUAGAUGUGCUUGUCCUCAACCUUCUUUUGUGCAUUUAUGUAGAAAUAAAGGAUUUGUUGCCCUAAAAAAUAGACA